GAUGAACGCUGGCGGCGUGCCUAAUACAUGCAAGUCGAGCGAACAGACGAGGAGCUUGCUCCUCUGACGUUAGCGGCGGACGGGUGAGUAACACGUGGAUAACCUACCUAUAAGACUGGGAUAACUUCGGGAAACCGGAGCUAAUACCGGAUAAUAUAUUGAACCGCAUGGUUCAAUAGUUAAAGACGGUUUUGCUGUCACUUAUAGAUGGAUCCGCGCCGCAUUAGCUAGUUGGUAAGGUAACGGCUUACCAAGGCAACGAUGCGUAGCCGACCUGAGAGGGUGAUCGGCCACACUGGAACUGAGACACGGUCCAGACUCCUACGGGAGGCAGCAGUAGGGAAUCUUACGCAAUGGGCGAAAGCCUGACGGAGCAACGCCGCGUGAGUGAUGAAGGUCUUCGGAUCGUAAAACUCUGUUAUUAGGGAAGAACAAAUGUGUAAGUAACUAUGCACGUCUUGACGGUACCUAAUCAGAAAGCCACGGCUAACUACGUG
RNAcentral lists this ribosomal RNA (497 nucleotides) under uncultured bacterium. Its description in RNAcentral is "partial 16S ribosomal RNA". It matches the Rfam family "Bacterial small subunit ribosomal RNA", at positions 28 to 507 of the family's 1533-position model. The record is from RNAcentral.